Molecule: long non-coding RNA, 226 nt
Organism: Thamnophis elegans (Western terrestrial garter snake)
Lineage: Eukaryota; Metazoa; Chordata; Lepidosauria; Squamata; Natricidae
Exons: 3
Source: RefSeq, a predicted model, not a curated record
UCGGCUCCAAGCGGAAAGCCUCCGAGGAGGUGGUGACAGUUACCGAGCUCUCGAUCAAGAAAAGGAGAUCCGACGUAGGAUUAACCAAUCCAGAACUCUUUGAGGAAAAUGGAAGGGAUUCUUUUGAUCAACCAGCUGUCAUCACUUCGGUGCAAGGCGGCGCAGAUCCUCCAACCGGGAAAGUUCCCCAGAAACAGAGCAGCAGGAGCAGGAAACGCCCUCGGAG